This is an RNA transcript of Camelina sativa (false flax), 198 nucleotides long. RefSeq lists it as uncharacterized. The record is from RefSeq and is a predicted model, not a curated record. NCBI's taxonomy places the organism in Eukaryota, Viridiplantae, Streptophyta, Magnoliopsida, Brassicales, Brassicaceae.
UCCAAGUCAACAGUAAGUGUAUGGCUGAAAUGAAAGAAAAGCAAGUUAGUUUACAAAGAAAAGUAGAUGACUUACAAGCUGUCAUUGAACAUUUGAAGAGAGGAGAACCUGAGGUCGGGGAAAAUUCAGCUGCAAGGAGUGUCACUAAUAGAGCACAUCCUAAGUGUUUGCUUCUGGAUUAUAAUGGUACUGGUGAGA